GAGUGUAGGCUUUGCCUGCUAUCUCUUACCAUGUCUUUUGAGUACCUUACGUUUCCUCGGUGGGUUCGCCCGCCGGUUGGACAAAACUUAAACCCUUUGUAGUUGCAAUCAGCGUCUGAAAAAACUUAAUAGUUACAACUUUCAACAACGGAUCUCUUGGUUCUGGCAUCGAUGAAGAACGCAGCGAAAUGCGAUAAGUAGUGUGAAUUGCAGAAUUCAGUGAACUCAUCGAAUCUUUGAACGCACAUUGCGCCCCUUGGUAUUCCAUGGGGCAUGCCUGUUCGAGCGUCAUUUGUACCUUCAAGCUCUGCUUGGUGUUGGGUGUUUGUCUCGCCUUUUGCGUGUAGACUCGCCUCAAAACGAUUGGCAGCCGGCGUAUUGAUUUCGGAGCGCAGUACAUCUCGCGCUUUGCACUCAUAACGACGACGUCCAAAAAGUACAUUUUACACUCUUGACCUCGGAUCAGUAGGGAUAC
This 475-nucleotide ribosomal RNA is filed under the name Pleosporales sp. UFMGCB 3434. RNAcentral describes it as "eukaryotic LSU rRNA". The stretch from base 137 to 291 matches the Rfam family "5.8S ribosomal RNA". The record is from RNAcentral. Lineage: Eukaryota; Fungi; Ascomycota; Dothideomycetes; Pleosporales.